GAGGAAUAUUGGUCAAUGGACGGAAGUCUGAACCAGCCAAGUAGCGUGCAGGAUGACGGCCCUAUGGGUUGUAAACUGCUUUUGUAUGGGGAUAAAGUUAGGGACGUGUCCCUAUUUGCAGGUACCAUACGAAUAAGGACCGGCUAAUUCCGUGCCAGCAGCCGCGGUAAUACGGAAGGUCCAGGCGUUAUCCGGAUUUAUUGGGUUUAAAGGGAGCGUAGGCUGGAGAUUAAGUGUGUUGUGAAAUGUAGACGCUCAACGUCUGAAUUGCAGCGCAUACUGGUUUCCUUGAGUACGCACAACGUUGGCGGAAUUCGUCGUGUAGCGGUGAAAUGCUUAGAUAUGACGAAGAACUCCGAUUGCGAAGGCAGCUGACGGGAGCGCAACUGACGCUGAAGCUCGAAGGUGCGGGUAUCGAACAGGAUUAGAUACCCUGGUAGUCCGCACAGUAAACGAUGGAUGCCCGCUGUUGGUACCUGGUAUCAGCGGCUAAGCGAAAGCAUUAAGCAUCCCACCUGGGGAGUACGCCGGCAACGGUG
This 539-nucleotide ribosomal RNA is filed under the name uncultured bacterium. RNAcentral describes it as "bacterial SSU rRNA". It matches the Rfam family "Bacterial small subunit ribosomal RNA", at positions 356 to 896 of the family's 1533-position model. The record is from RNAcentral.